ACACUCUCCUCAGUGUUGGAGGAGUAUUAGGUGGAGUUCUGCUGGCGCUGGCAAUUAUAUGUGGGCUUUUCUUUGCCUUAAGAUGCGGUGCAGGGAAGGAAACGGCAGCUACAAGUCAACCAAACUCGGAGGUGAACAUGGAGGGUGCCCGGGUGUAUGAGGAGAUACAAACCACUGAUACCGCCCAAGCUAAUGGCUCUGUCUCAACCCAUCAGGGCACAGUGUCGUACUCAGCAAGUGACCAAUGUUCUAACCCUCAUCCAGCAUGUAUCACCGUGUACUCUGCAAUAACAAAUCAGGGCCUCAAUUCACACUCUGAUCACACCUGUCCCAGCCAACACACACACUAUGCUGUGACCCCCGUUAAGGAACUGCACAUUGAAACCCCCCAAAGCUCAAAAGAACCAAAUUAUUGCAAAGUAUAUUUUGCAAAUAACAAAAGUAUGGAUGAAAGUCCAACAUACUCCCUCAUCACUGCCCCCAAAAUCUCAACGGACAGUGUUUCACAUUACUCGGCUAUUCAGUUUCCACAAACUCUCAGUUCAGACCAUGAACUCCAGAACAUGGUCUCAAAACAAGGAAUAGACCAUGUCUAUGAUAAUACUAAUAUCUGCUAGGACUUCUAAUAGUAUAUUAGUGUUACCCGAUUAAACGUUUGUUUGUUUGGUGUUUGUUUUUUUGUUUUUAUGCAGGACGGGGUCCUACAUUAAACUCUGACAUUUUAUGUUUGUAAAAUAUGGACUCCCUAUGGGGACGUGGCUUAAAAAAAAAAAAAAAGCACCAGAUACUAUUGGGUGAACACUAGUAACUUUCUAUUGAGCACCAGAUUCUGUGGUGAGCACCUGAUAUUAUCUAGUGAGCACCAGAUACUAUCAAGUCAGCACUAGAUAUUUUCAAAAAAUAUUACCACAUCUUUAUCUGAUGCUCACCACAUAAUAUCUAAUGUGCACCUGAUAGCUUUGGGUGCCAACCACAUAGUAUCUAGUGCUGACCUGAUAGUACCAGGUGCUCACCACACAGUAUCUAGUGUUGUGUGUUGUAGUAUUGUGUGCCAACCACAUAAUAUCCAGUGCUCACCUGAUCGUAUUAGCUGCUCGCCACACAGUAUCUGGUGUUCACCUGAUAGUACUGUGUGCUCACCACAUAGUAUCUGGUGCUCACUUGUGACUAGUUGUUUCCUAUAGUAUUUAAAUGAAUGUAUAAGGCAAUCUGUUCAGCUCUUGAAGUCCUGGGAAAGCUUGCUUGGCUAUAUGUGUGUGUGUAUAUAUAUAUAUAUUGUGUAAAUGGACGAUUUUCCUUUUGGCUGUGUUUGGCUUGCUCUCUGUUUCUGACCAAAACUUAAUAGUGACGUAAGAGUAUUACUGUAAUACUUAUUGAGUUUAAAUACAAACAAGUGAUUCUAUUAAAUAAAAAUUCACUAAAAUGACAAACAUGUAUUUUGUUUUAUGAUAAAACAUCUAGAUAUCGGUGUUUUGAGUGCAACCAUAAAGAGUUAUAAUGUAUUGUAAUCUCAUCACAAUGACUUUAAUGUGGUUAUGAUAAAGAGCCUGAUUAAAGGCUCAUAAAUAAUACAUCAUUUUACACCUAUCAGUGAAGUUCUUGGCCACGUUUGGAACAAAUACCUUCAAGAAACGCAGCCAUAAAAAGUCAGAUAAAAAGAGAUAUACAUUGAUGAUUUUAGUUGCUUAUCUUUGCUUGAAUGUUUGGUAUAUUUGGUGGUUAAACAUUUAUGACUGGUCUUUGUCCUGCCUUUAUAUGGAAUGGAUAAACACACAGUAUCU
Molecule: long non-coding RNA, 1781 nt
Organism: Pygocentrus nattereri (red-bellied piranha)
Lineage: Eukaryota; Metazoa; Chordata; Actinopteri; Characiformes; Serrasalmidae
Source: Ensembl